This 28-nucleotide non-coding RNA is filed under the name Mus musculus (house mouse). The record is from RNAcentral. Lineage: Eukaryota; Metazoa; Chordata; Mammalia; Rodentia; Muridae.
UGCAAUGGAACCUUGUUGAUACUGCUUG